CCGGCCCUACGGGGGGCAGCAGUGAGGAAUAUUGGUCAAUGGCCGCAGGGCUGAACCAGCCAAGUCGCGUGAGGGAUGACGGUCCUAUGGAUUGUAAACCUCUUUUGUCAGGGAGCAAAGGGCGCCACGUGUGGCGCUUUGCGAGUACCUGAAGAAAAAGCAUCGGCUAACUCCGUGCCAGCAGCCGCGGUAAUACGUAGGUGGCAAGCGUUAUCCGGAUUUAUUGGGUGUAAAGGGCGUGUAGGCGGGAAUGCAAGUCAGAUGUGAAAACUAUGGGCUCAACCCAUAGCCUGCAUUUGAAACUG
Molecule: ribosomal RNA, 305 nt
Filed under: uncultured bacterium
Lineage: Bacteria
Description: bacterial SSU rRNA
Rfam family: Bacterial small subunit ribosomal RNA
Source: RNAcentral